CCUACGGGUGGCAGCAGUGGGGAAUAUUGCACAAUGGGGGAAACCCUGAUGCAGCAACGCCGCGUGAAGGAAGACGGUUUUCGGAUUGUAAACUUCUGUUCUUAGUGAAGAAUAAUGACGGUAGCUAAGGAGCAAGCCACGGCUAACUACGUGCCAGCAGCCGCGGUAAUACGUAGGUGGCAAGCGUUGUCCGGAAUUACUGGGUGUAAAGGGAGCGCAGGCGGGAAGCCAAGUCAGCUGUUAAAACUACGGGCUUAACUUGUAGACUGCAUUUGAAACUGUUUUUCUUGAGUACCGGAGAGGUCAUCGGAAUUCCUUGUGUAGCGGUGAAAUGCGUAGAUAUAAGGAAGAACACCAGUGGCGAAGGCGGAUGGCUGGACGGCAACUGACGGUGAGGCGCGAAAGCGUGGGGAGCAAACAGGAUUAGAUACCCGGGUAGUC
Molecule: ribosomal RNA, 441 nt
Filed under: uncultured bacterium
Lineage: Bacteria
Description: partial 16S ribosomal RNA
Rfam family: Bacterial small subunit ribosomal RNA
Source: RNAcentral